Molecule: non-coding RNA, 6730 nt
Organism: Equus caballus (horse)
Lineage: Eukaryota; Metazoa; Chordata; Mammalia; Perissodactyla; Equidae
Source: RefSeq, a predicted model, not a curated record
GCCUGCCCCACUACUGAAUUAAUCUUACUGAUUUAUUUGUUUGUUUAUGUGUCUCAAGCAGAGUUAUGCAAGCUUCAUGAGAGUAGAAACAUGUCUGUCAGUUAUCGCUAAUAAUAAUAAUAAUAAUAAGAGCAAAAUAAAAUAGUAUCUACUACGAUUCCUCAGUCUGGUCCUGUUCUAAGCUCUUUGCAUGCGUUAGGUCUUUACUCUUCAUUGCAACCUCAGGAGGUUGGUACUGUUAUUAUCCUCAUUUUAUAGUUGAAAGAACUGAAGAACAGGGAAUUUCAGUGACUUAUCAAAGGUCCCACUGCUAUUCGAUGGUAAAAAUUGGAACUUGAACCCAGGCAGGGUGGCUUCAGACACUACACUGCUCUGUACCAAUCGCAGGAGUUACAGAUGCGGAUAAGGCAGAGACACUCCUCUUGAAUACUCAGGAUUGGGAGGAUGGGCAAGAAAGAAAAUUCACAACAAAGCCUGGUAAGUUUUGUGUUUCAGGCAUCCAAGAGGGGCUAGGAAAGCAUGUAAGUGAGGCAUCUGAUUUAUAUGUAAAAAUCUUUCUGUAUUAGAAUAUAUCAGAAAAACCUGAUUUGUCUUCCUUAGUAUAUUUGUUGGGCUGUCAACAUUUGCCGAUUUAGGUAUCUAGCAUCAUUAUUGUAGAAACAUGGAGUGAGAUGAAACUUUUCCAAUGGAAAACACACUGAGAAACUGAGGUCUGAGACUGGAUUCUUCUUCUGAAAUGAGUUCGAUAUUUGUUUCCUGUUCCUUUACCCUGGCUAGGAUAGAAAUGAUUUCGCAGAUCAAAGGUGACGUGAGGGGCCUGGAGGAAGGUGAACCCAACCAUCAGGAGAAAACCAUUAUCUGCCUGCUUUGAAGAAAUCAUUUUGAAAUAAUGAGGCAUAAUUAAUGUCAGUGCUUAGGACUAUGUGAAAGUUUGCCAAGAUAGCCAGUGCAAUUCUGAAGGCCAGAAAUGGCAGUCUGGUUACAGGUAUGCCAAGUGACCAUCGCAUGCUUCACAGAAUUUAGCAGCCAAAUGAGAUUAACUGUAUGCAUCAAGUAAGGAAUUAGACUGCAAUUACAACCAAUAAUGGUCAGUCUUCAUUUUGAGCCAGGAGCCCGUCUAAGGGCCCUGCAGCUUAUGAAAUCCUCACAGCAAACGUGGUGAGGUAGGUAUUAUUAUUAUACUCCAUUUACUGAGAGGGAAAUUGAGGUCCAGAAAGGUUAAGUAAUUUGACUAAUAUCACACAGGUACAAAGUGUGAAUUUGAACCCAACCAUAGGGUUAUGUAAAUAAAACAAGCAAAUAGUUAACACCAUUGAGUGGCUAUGAUUUGCACGGCGCUGUGCUAGGCACUUGAAUGUGUGUCUCAUUUACUCUUCAUAACCCAUAUGAAGUGAGUGUUAUAUUACAGGUAGAGAAACUGAGACUCAAAUAGGAUACAAACUUGCAAUUCAUUGAACUCCUUUAAACUAGCCAGUGGGGCACUGGUCUUUCUUCUCCAUAAUUGCCUUUAUUGCCCCACAUUCUUCCCCUCUGGUACUUUUGGCUCAUUCUUUGUGCUUUUAUGAUACACAGCUCAAUAAUAUGCAUAGUAUAAAACCUGCUAACAUUUUCUGAGCCCAGACUAUGUGCUGGGCAUUGUGCUAAACUGUUUUCCAUUAAUUACCUCAUUUAAUCUUUGCAGCAACCAAAUGUCACAGAUACUAUUGUUAGUACCGUUUUAUAUAUGAAGGAACUGAAGUUCAGAGAGAUGCUCCUGGCGGCAGUUUGCAGCAGUGUCUGGGGAUGCAAUUUUCCUACGAGAAAAUGGAGCAUUUUAAAGCUUCGCUGCAUUGCCCUGCAUCAAGAAUAAGUGAACCAGAUUCAGAAUUCUUUUAAUUUUUGAACAUUAAAAAACUUGCAAUCCUGUUUUAAAAUGUGUGUGUGUUUGUUUUUUUCUGGAAUCAGGGUGGUUUGGAAUUAUAUUCUUUGUGGUAUGUUUCUUGAAAAGUGAAAAGUUCUCUUGGGCCCUGGUUAAUUCUGGAUGCUUCCUCUUCCCCUGUCUUUCUGUGGCUCUCUGUUCUGUUCUCAGGACAGUCACCAUUAGCUUGCGUCUCCUGAAGGAACAAGUGGAGCGGGGGCAGGGUGUUGGGUCUCUGGGAAACUCAUUUGCAUACUUCUUGUUACAAAGGCCGACCACAUCCCGGGUAAGACAAUGUGCUGUCUGAUAAACAGCCUGCGUCCCCCAGUGUCUGCCUGGAGCUCAGCCAGCGUGUGGUCCGCCUUUGUCACAAGGUGCUGUUUAUUCUGCCUGGAAGUCCAAGGACAGGACAAACCAGCUAAAUGAACCUUUUAUUUCCUCUAUUCUCUGGCAGAAAUUCCUUGGGUCAAAAACAUUUAUUAAUAUUAGAUUCAGGGGGAGGCAAUCAGAAUUCUCCAAAGAAGCUUCUCUAACACUAUGGAAAACCUCUAAGAGGUUUUUAUCUUCCUUUCUAGCUCUGAAUUCUAUGGGGAUUGGGCAAACUAAGAAACUUAGAAAAUAGAGUGCGAGGGUGAUAUAAAGAUCAAAGUUUGCCAAGAUGUUGUGUUGAAAAAUAUUUCUUUCCACAUCUGUUUCUACGUGUUCUCUUUCUCUUUUCCUUCUCUCUCCCUACCCAACACACAGACAAAAGGAAAUGAAGGCUUAGACAAUUAAUUAGAGACUGCUGGACGUGUUGUUUAAGAAUCUGGAUAAUUGAGUUCUAAUUUCUCCGUUCUCCCUACAAUUUGGUAAAUUAAAAAAAAAGAUUUUGAGAUGCAGUCUCAUUUAUGGCCGUUAAGGUAAGAAAUCUCUCUUUAUGCUACCCUUUCAUUGUUUUUUCUUUUUAACUCCCUUCAAAACAAUUCAAGAUUUCCUGCUCUGCUUAAGGUAUUUUCAAAUCUAGAUGUGGGACAUAUUUUAAGAUAUAUUUUAAUCACAAAUUUUAUUGGGGAACGUAGUCACUCGAGGAAGGUGCUCUGUGAUACAGAAGUUGUCUUAAUAUUUUUUAUCAGUAAUUUCUGUAAGCAGACUUUGUCUUGAGGGAAUAGAAUAUGCAGCUAUUUCCUUUCUGCAUUUCUAGUGAUCUCUUAAAUAUAUCACAGCCGCUCAUCUGUGGCUAGUCCCACAUGUGUAGGGAAGAGUUUUAGUAAAGUAUUGGCUGGAAUCCUCCUGGAGGUACUCGUGGAGGAUGAUGCUCGAGAUGCUAUUACAGAACCGUUUGAAAAAGACACCAGUCGGCGUUUUGAAGGAUUACCGACAUUUCUAAUAAAGCCUCUGAAGGGAUUUCUGGCAGCUGAAGAACAAUAAUAUGAUAGAGAUUGAUUAUUUUGAGGUUUAGAAGCUAAAUACUUGCACGUGGUGAAUAUUGAGGUUUGUUGUGAAAAUGAAAGUUAGAAUUGUAUAGAAAACUUUGUGAAGGAGUAGCCUGCGAGCGAGACAAUAUCAGCUUUGUCUGAGCGAUAUCACCUUUUGUGGAUUAGGAAAGGUCACUAAACCUUAGUGAACGGUUUUUCCUCUGUUUUCAUCAUACCAGUCCUCAAGAUUCAUGGUCAGUAGCAAUUGGAAGCUGACAAGGACCAUAAGCUGACUUCUCUAUAGAGGCAGUUGUAAAAAGAGCAACCUCCAUAAACACUGUGAGGUGCAUUCCUCCUAGUUUGGCUACCAAGAAAAGAUUUCUCACUGUGUUUUACCUGCUGCAAAAUUGGGAAUUCCAGAAAUCUCACAGUGUCCAGAUGAAUUUUCUUUCUGAAUCUGGGAUGCAGCACCCUUUUUUGAAAGACAAAGAGAGGAUUUUGCUGAGAUUUCAUUGAAGAUCUUGACUAUGAACCAAAACUUCUUUGCUUGUGGAGUGGAGAGAAAAGUGAAGAAUAUGAUGGACACCAUUAUGGUGACAAUGAAGAGGAAAACAGCAACUUGUCAAUUCCCCACUCGGGGCAGUCAGAGGUCUCCAGAGAGGGGACAAGGGCAAGGAAGAAACUGAAGAUGCAGUCCGCUCCGACUUAUUUAACAGGCCAGCUUGAACAGGGCACUAGAUAAGCGAGUGUCACAAUUCCUGGUCCGUGGUUUUUUUAAUGCCAACCAUUUAUUUGAACAGAGGGCAAUUUGGGUAGGCAGCUACAUGAUUUAUUGCCAUGCUGACCUGAUCAGGGACUGCGAGGAGAAGAGCAGUAGUUCUGAGGUGUCCCAGAAGUUCUCAGACCUGCAUGGAUUUUGAUGGUUGAAUUUACAUAUUUCUGCAUAGCCAUAAAACACUCCUUCCUUUGUUCCUACUCAAGAUUCCGCCCAGGUCCCUGCCCAGUCCCUCCCUGAGGCAAUCUUAGGGAGCUGCCUAUCAGAGAACCUCAAUGGGAUCACGUUGUGGGGUCCUUUCAUUAUCGUAUAAUUAUACCCUGGGAGGCCCGGUGGUCCCUUUACGUUUCAGCUCUCUGGUGACAUUUCAUGUUAAGUUCAACUGUGUGCUUCUCACUGUCCUUGUACUUUUGGUUCUGGUUUUUGAUGGAGGCCCAUUUUUCUUAGAAUAUUUUUUACUUUCAUUUUCUUGUUUCUAAAGCAGUAUGACACCUACUUUCUAUUACUUGUUAUUCUCCAUCAACGUCACUUAACAAGAAAGCUAAAAAUUAAUGUAUGCUUUAUAUAUUUAGUUUGUGUGUUGACAAAUAAAAAUGGCAAACAAUAGGAUAUAUUGGAGAAUAUGAGGAAGCCAUUUGGUAUAAACCUAAUCCCCGCCCUGUCUUUCCAAAAGGGCCUGACGGGCUGUUGAGCAUGCAUUGUCUAUCUGCUUUAGAUAUUCCCUAUGGCAAGAACAAACGCCCUUGAGAUAAAGGUGCAACUUCCCUCCCACUCCCAAGUUGGCAUUCCCUUAAGGAUUAAGCAUCUUUCCUUAGGCUAGGAACUGAUUGCUGCGCUCACCUGUGACCACCCAGCUCGAGACAAUAGGCGUGCCUCCUGCUAUGCCCGCUGAGAUAGCAGACCCACUACCUGCUGUGUCCAUCAAGUGCUGUGCCGACAGGGCAAUCUUGUGACUAUUGUGGGAGGGACAUUUCAAUCAUAUGUGAAACGUCCUGGUUGGGGGUAUACAACCACUCUGUAUACCUCACUUCUUUUGUGCCCUUUCUUCUGGAAGAAAGGCCCUGGGCCAUGGUCCUCAGAUUUCAGCUGAGAAUAAACUCACCGAAAUUUUCAUUUAUAGAUUGGUUAUGGAUUAUUUUCACUGACAGUGUCUUUUUUCUUUUACACGUAUUUAAUGGAGCAGAUAGGCGAAGUAAGAAUUGGGCUGGAAAAUAACCAUAGGACGUAGAGAAUUUUUAAGGUGAGAAGAGGUUUACAGAAAAGAAAGUUGAAAGAAGAAUGCCAGAGUGGAGGUGGAGAGAAUUGUUACCAGCCAACAAAUGUAUGUGUGUGUUUCUGAUGAAAGCCCUUUUUCCAGAAUGUGUAGAGAACUGUGUAGAGAAUUAUUUAAAAAUAAAAAAGGACCGUCCAGUAGACAAACGUGCAAAAGACUUUAAUAGAUACUUCUUAAAAGUGAGUAUCCAAAUGGCUAAUAAAUCAUAUGAAAAUGUGCCCCACAUCAUUGCUCAUCAGGGAAUUUAAAUUAAAGCCACAAUGCAAUAAUACUACACCUCGACUAGGAGGAUGAAAAUUAAAAGACAAUAUCCAAUGUUGGUAACGGUAGAGCAGGUGGAAUUCUGGGGUACUAUUAGUGAGAGUGUGAAUUGGUAUAAUCACUUUGAAAAAAUAUUUGGUAGGCUCUAUUAAAGUUGAAUAUAUGCAAAAUUUAUGAGCCAGAAAUUCCACUUGUAGGUAUGUAUUCAAUGGAAAUAUGUACUCACUAAAAGACAUGUAUAAGAGUUCAUAACAGCACUAUUUAUAAUAGACCAAAACUGGAAACAACUCAAAUAUUCAUUAAAAAGAUUAUAAAUUAUUAGACACUUCACGAGCCAGGUAAAUAAUCAGCAUGGAUCCAACAGAAAGAUAGCUGGAUGACAAUUCUUUGUGAACCUGGACAUGGUGUUGGUGUUAGAAGCCUGGGGUCCAGCUGAGGGUGUAGCUGGAGCCUAAGUGCUAUGAGUUACCCUUUUCACAUAAAUGGUAGGUGGCAUGGCUGAUGUGCCACCUCUGUCUUUGUGAGAUGUCUGAACAUCCUCUUUCAAUCUUUCCUACAGUUUUUCCCUCAUGAGGACAAGACCCAGAAUUGCAAGCAUCUGGUGGCAUUUAAAUGAACUAUCUGUCCACCAUUUAUUUCACGGAUUGAGAAUAAGCAGAUUGUUCUUUAAAAAAUUCUACUAAGCGCUAUGUAGUACCCUGGAGAUCUUGGAAUAGUACAAGGGCAUUAGUGGAAAAAAUUGGUGGUUCGAAUAAAUUCUGUGAUUUAGUUAAUUGUACUGUACCAAUGUCCACUUCUUAGUUUCGACAAAUGUACCAUAAUUCUGUCAGUGUUAACAUUAGGGACAACUGGGUGAAGCCUAUAAAGGAAUUCUUUGUAUUCUCCUUGCAACUGUUCUGUAAAUCUAAAAUUAUUUCAAAAUAAAACAAAAUAUUAAACAAAUCCCAGCCCUAAAAUUGAAUGCCUUUUUUUAACCUUCAAAAUUAGAAAUUUAUUAUAUGUUUUGAACACAACAUAACAUUUUAACAUCCUUGGAAUUUUAUUUUAUUUCACAGUUUUUCUGUUACUCAUUAGUAGAGAAUAUUCACCAAUCAUACUUAUUAAAUAUAGGAUAGCUUACAAGGAUAUAA